GCCUGUGGUCCGGGCGUGGCGCCCUACUGCGCAAGGGCGCGGAGGCUUCUCACCCGCCAACCCCGCGGCUGCGAGUGAGGAUUCCUGGCCCGCGCGGGCGAGCUUCUUUGGAGGCGCUAGAAAGCCCUUGACUAGCUGCGGCCUGGGCACCGCGAGGAUGGCCGCCAGGGGGCGGUGAGGCCGCCGCGACUUGAGCGGAACUUUCCGCGGAGGCCUCUGCACAGCUAACCCUUAGCUACGCUGUGUGCAGUGGUAAUGACGGAAUCUCAGGAGACCUGCCUGCCUGCGGAAACUCACAUCAGAAUGUGGUGACUUUGGAAGGCAGUACGAAUAUGCAGUCCAUGUCAGGACGAAGACCACUGGGAACUUGACCUUGUGUGGGAUGUGUGGAGAAGAGUGCAUUGAGCAUUUACCCUGGAAGACAGUGGAGGACCCAGAUGAGCCUCCCUGGAAAUAUUCACCCACGCCGACUCUGACAUGACCCAAAGCAUCCAGUUCAGCAGUGUCCACUUCAUGUUAACCCUGCACUUUACCAUCUAGA
Mesocricetus auratus (golden hamster) is the source of this 541-nucleotide long non-coding RNA. RefSeq lists it as uncharacterized. The record is from RefSeq and is a predicted model, not a curated record. The transcript is spliced from 3 exons. Lineage: Eukaryota; Metazoa; Chordata; Mammalia; Rodentia; Cricetidae.